AAAAAAAAUGGGCGCAACGCCCAUCCUUCUGUACCGCGAUCACAUCCGGGCGGCGAAACAAUCACCAUGCCCAUCGACUUCGUGAUUUUAGCCAUUU
Molecule: small RNA, 97 nt
Organism: Burkholderia sp. Leaf177
Lineage: Bacteria; Pseudomonadati; Pseudomonadota; Betaproteobacteria; Burkholderiales; Burkholderiaceae
Rfam family: Burkholderia sRNA Bp1_Cand612_SIPHT
Source: Rfam